UGAAAGCUCCGGCGGUUACAGAUGGGCAUGCGUGACAUUAGCUCGUUGGUGAGGUAAUAGCUCACCAAGGCGACGAUGUCUAGGGGGUCUGAGAGGAUGAUCCCCCACACUGGUACUGAGACACGGACCAGACUCCUACGGGAGGCAGCAGUGAGGAAUAUUGCGCAAUGGAGGAAACUCUGACGCAGCCAUGCCGCGUGCAGGAUGACAGCCCUACGGGUUGUAAACUGCUUUUCUGCAGGAAGAACCUUCCGUACGUGUACGGAACUGACGGUACUGCAGGAAUAAGCAUCGGCUAACUCCG
Molecule: ribosomal RNA, 304 nt
Filed under: uncultured bacterium
Lineage: Bacteria
Description: bacterial SSU rRNA
Rfam family: Bacterial small subunit ribosomal RNA
Source: RNAcentral